ACCGGCGGCCCGAGUGGUGAUCGUGAUUAUUGGGUCUAAGGGUCCGUAGCCGGUUGGUCAGUCCUCCGGGAAAUCUGAUAGCUCAACUAUUAGGCUUUCGGGGGAUACUGCCAGACUUGGAACCGGGAGAGGUAAGAGGUACUACAGGGGUAGGAGUGAAAUCUUGUAAUCCCUGUGGGACCACCUGUGGCGAAGGCGUCUUACCAGAACGGGUUCGACGGUGAGGGACGAAAGCUGGGGGGCACGAACCGGAUUAGAUACCCGGGUAGUCCCAGCCGUAAACGAUGCUCGCUAGGUGUCAGGCAUGGCGCGACCGUGUCUGGUGCCGCAGGGAAGCCGUGAAGCGAGCCACCUGGGAAGUACGGCCGCAAGGCUGAAACUUAAAGGAAUUGGCGGGGGAGCACAACAACGGGUGGAGCCCUGCGGUUUAAUUGGACUCAACGCCGGACAACUCACCGGGGGCGACAGCAAUAUGUAGGCCAAGCUGAAGACUUUGCCUGAAUCGCUGAGAAGAGGUGCAUGG
RNAcentral lists this ribosomal RNA (523 nucleotides) under uncultured archaeon. RNAcentral describes it as "bacterial SSU rRNA". It matches the Rfam family "Archaeal small subunit ribosomal RNA", at positions 475 to 997 of the family's 1478-position model. The record is from RNAcentral.